CGGGCUGUGGCUCAGUUGGCUAGAGCGUCUGCUUUGGGAGCAGAAGGUCGCGAGUUCGAGUCUCGCCAGCCCGA
RNAcentral lists this transfer RNA (74 nucleotides) under Candidatus Magasanikiibacteriota bacterium. RNAcentral describes it as "tRNA-Pro". It matches the Rfam family "tRNA". From Rfam's summary of the family: Transfer RNA (tRNA) molecules are approximately 80 nucleotides in length. Their secondary structure includes four short double-helical elements and three loops (D, anti-codon, and T loops). Lineage: Bacteria; Candidatus Magasanikiibacteriota. The record is from RNAcentral.